CCAGACUCCUACGGGAGGCAGCAGUGAGGAAUAUUGGUCAAUGGUCGGGAGACUGAACCAGCCAAGCCGCGUGAGGGAUGAAGGUUCAGAGUAUCGUAAACCUCUUUUGUCAGGGAACAAAGGCGGGGACGUGUCCCCGGAUGAGUGUACCUGAAGAAAAAGCAUCGGCUAACUCCGUGCCAGCAGCCGCGGUAAUACGGAGGAUGCGAGCGUUAUCCGGAUUUAUUGGGUUUAAAGGGUGCGUAGGCGGCAUAUCAAGUCAGCGGUAAAACGCCGGGGCCCACCCCCGCCCCGCCGUUGAAACUGGCAGUCUCGAGUUGGAGAGAAGUAUGCGGAAUGCGCGGUGUAGCGGUGAAAUGCAUAGAUAUCGCGCAGAACUCCGAUUGCGAAGGCAGCAUGCCGGCGCCACACUGACGCUGAGGCACGAAAGCGUGGGUAUCGAACAGGAUUAGAUACCCGAGUACG
RNAcentral lists this ribosomal RNA (465 nucleotides) under uncultured bacterium. Its description in RNAcentral is "bacterial SSU rRNA". It matches the Rfam family "Bacterial small subunit ribosomal RNA", at positions 331 to 793 of the family's 1533-position model. The record is from RNAcentral.